UCAGGGUGCUGCUUGGAACUGUCCUAUGUGAAGAAAUUAUAAGGAAAAUAAAUCUGUUAGUGAAACCAUGCUGUAGGUGCACCAGCAAACCAUCCUGAUAUGAAAAACAGAUAAGUAGUAAUAGGCCAGUAUAUCUGCAUAAGGAAUCCUCCAGUGACUUGAAUAUCAAAAAGGAAAUCCUACAAAGAGUGAAAUCAAGGGCAUAUUGUAGAAGCAGUGGCCUGCUUGGGCAAUCCUGACCUUGAUUAACAGCUCUUCUCCCAUGGGAAAGCACAUACCAAAGGAUACAAAUCAGAAGGACUGCCAUCUACACUUAUCAAGACAGUUGUGGACUUUCUUUGAAGCUAGGAGAUGGCCCAGGUGCAUGUUUUGUAGCAGGUGGCUGAGAUCACUGGAACUGUGACAGAGCAUACAAAUUAUUACAAGCCACCUAUCAAUAAUGACUUCCUUCAAAAUGUGUUUGAAACCCCCACAUAUGAUGUCAAUAGGAUUCACAAGCUUGGUUGCUUGACAUGGGCCUCAGGAAUGCCUUGUGGAACUUCAGCACUCAGCUCUUCCUCUGUCAUCACAGCCUUGCAGAGAGGGGUGGAUGGCUGCAUCUGGGAGUCCAUCUGAGUAAGAGGCUGGUUCGCUUUGAGCAUUGGUGUGAAGCAAGGCUACUCUUGCUUUCUGGGGCUGUUUAGCAUUAUCAUACAUUGCUGCUGUGUGGGCAACACGAGCAGCAGCAUUCUGUGGAUAUAUGCACAUUGCACAUAUCUUGGAAGCAUAAAUUGUGCUAGUAGCACUGUGUUACUGAGCCAUAGACCUGAAAAAACCUGUGAAAAUACAUAACCUAGCAAAAGAAGUAAGCCAGACAGGAUUCAAAAUCAGUUAUCAAACCAAACAUCCCUGAAAGCUUAAAACCAAGCAUCAAAGUCAUGUUAGAAAAUACAAAUUCUGGGAAAGCAGAGCUUGCCAGUCCUGUCCAUAUCCCUCUUCUGACUGAUUAGGAAAGAACUGACAGUAAAAAUAGGAGAGUCUUCCACCACUCAUUUCAGCAUAAGGAAAUUCAAGAUAUUCAUUUCCAGAUGAAAAAAAAAAAAAACUUUUUAGAGUUAUUAUUUACAUGUAAUUACAGUGCUAAAAUAGAUCCUGGAAAACAGAGACAUCAAAGAUGCUAGGAAAACUAGAUGCCUUGAGAAAAACAAAGUGCCUAUGAAUGUUGGUCUCUGUCUCAGCAAAGAGUUGAACUGCCCACCACCACCUCUCCUUCCACCACAGUCAGCAGGGAGCAUAGGAUAUAAUUGUUGUGCAUCCUCUGAGUGGCAGCCCCCGAGAAUUCCCCCAGAGAUGACCCAGUGUGUGUGAAGAAGACCCACCUGACAGGAAUGAUGGUGAUCAAUCCCAACUGUGUGUGCUAGAAACAGGAAGGAAUGAUGGUAAGAAAGGGAAGAUGCUACCUUCCACAGCAAGAAUAACAUAGGGGCUGCAAAGAGGAUCCAAUAUAUUCUCCAUAAGUGCUUUGUUUGCUCUGCAAAGCAAAACUUGCAUUAGCUAGCUUGCCACUGGGGGUAAUAGUUGUGAACUUUACCAAAGGGGAGGAAAAUAAUGCUCUUGCUCCAGAGAUGCAAAGGGUAGCUGCUCUGCAGGAAAAAGCACUGCACCAAAUACUUCAAGAAGCUGAAGUAAAAAAAUAGCUUAUUUAAACUAAACUUAUUUAAACAGGGAAAUAAACUUAUUUAAACAGGGAAACCCUCUUGCUGAGGUAUCACUGUGUAAAUGCUGCAGCCAUGGUGGACGGGGGAGAAAGUCCACGUCAAGAAGAUUUGGCAGAUGUGGGACUCAGGUAGUCAUGCCAGUGGAAAUUACUUGAUCCCUGAUUAAAGGGGCUUUGCCUUUCAUGUAUCUUCAAAGGUAUCUAGAGUCUACUGGUGUCAUUAGCAAUGAUGGUUUAUUUUCAUUACCUAGACUGAAUGAAAGAUCUUUAAUCAAACUGUGUUGUAUUAGAGGCAGUUCUGCUGUUUAACCAUAAAUAUUUGGUGUGCAAUCCGGUGUUGAUUUGUAAGGUUAGUGGUAAUUAUAAAAUAAGUAGUCCUUUUUUCUUUGUAUUAUCUACUGAGUUGUUUUUGAAUAUUAAGUUGAACUUAGAUCCAAGUGUGCUUUUUGAGGUGAUUACUUGUAGAAAUAAGGGGGCACAAUGAAUAUGUUCAGGAUACAUUGUUUGUGCUGCAAUUCCCAGUCAUUUAUUUAGCCAAGUUUUGACACAAAAGCACUAAAUCUAUGCUUCUUUAGAAAAGUAAAUCUCUAUAGUCUGUUCCCAGCUUUCUUCUAGAUUUCUCAUAAUAUCAAGCCCACACACAGCCCAGAUUCCUCAAUGGUAGCUGGUGAAGUUUUUCCACCUUCUUGAGCUAUAUAUAUUCCUAUGUCCUGAGCAGCAGCCUGUGCAUGUGUUUUGAGUGCAGACUGCUGUUAUUUUAGAUACCUUCCUCCAUAAAGGAGCCUAAGUGCUUCUUACAUAUCUUCAUAAUGAGAAUUUUUUCAUUACUUUCACAGAGGCUUAACCUCAUUUCCAAAAUGAGGUUGUUCUUGUUCUCCAAGUUAAAUAACUAAAUACAGAUAUAUGUGUGAGUGUGUGUGUGUGUGUGUGUGUGUGUGUGUGUGUGUGUGUGUGUGUGUGUGUGUGUGUGUAAAAUGUUGGGAGUUUGUCCAUCAAGAUCCAUAUGAAUUUAUAUGUAUAUCGUGGUUGAAGUAAAGAACUUUAUUCAGGAGGGAGUCUUAAAUGUGUGCCUUUUUUAAAGCACCUACUGAAGAGAGGUUUCAUGCAUGUUUACACACUUUUCUGAAUAGGGGUGCAUGAAAGAACAGGCUUCUUUUCUGGAAUCCAAACCUUGACUGAAAUAUCACUGCCUGGAUCAUCUGCUGCUUGCAAGGCUGGCAGCAGCAAGGGGAUAUAAACCAUAGCUCACACUGGUGUCACCAGUAAGUGAAGGACACAUUGCAUGUACUUGUACAACAUGUUGUUCCUCAGGUGAGACCAUGUGCUUUAGUAACUCGCCUUUAUGCAGUGGGAGCAUCAAGAUGAAGGUCAUGGGUCCCAGAACACAGCUGUGAUGAAGCAAAUCUACAUUGUGACAUCCAAAUUUGUUAUAUAAUUAGAGCAUUCAAUUAUAGACUGAAAGACAUACUUAGACUGUAUUAGAAUAUUCUCUGAUGUAAAUGAGGUUGAGUUAAUUCCCUAACAGGCCGAGCAGUGACAAGAGAAGCAGUUAAGCUCCCAGCACUAACUGGGGACAAAAUUAAACAAGUGGCAUUCUUCCCUGCCCUGCCCUGCCUCACCUCCUCCUGUGCCCUGGUCCUAUGGCCAUGAGAGCCAGCUCCACACUGAGAGCCCCUGCCACAGAGAGUAAUGUCCACCUUUUGUUGUAAUCUGCUAAUAAAUGAUUUCUCCUUUGGGUUCCAGCUGCAGCUCUGCCCUUGUGCAGGCUAUUGGUUGGGUAGAGCAGCCACAAGCAGUGGGAACAGCUAAGACUCUUCAAGAAUUUCAGUAGUUUUCUUGGAUUAAUACUGGUUGAAUUUUGUCUCUGAAAACAGUAAGUUUUGAUAGGAGUCCUUGUUUCUCUAGGCUGAUCUGGCUGGUUCAGCCGUAGCUGAUGUAAGCUGGAACAUUGAGGCUUGUUUCAAAGAGAGAGGGAAUGCAAGCCAAGACACAAACAUGGGCCCCUAUUUUCCUCUGAAAAAUAUUAUUAGGUUUCCAUUUUCCUCUUAGGCAGCAAUAAGCUACUCCUCUGAGUGAGAAAAGGGUCCUUUAUAUUUUGGAGAUAUUUGAGGAAAUUGCCAUGGCAUUAUUGUUCCAUAAGUCACUUCCAAAAUAUACUAGAUCUCACGCAGAGGUGGAAAGUCUGUGACCAGACUACACAGUCUAGAAACAACUGAGAUUAAAUGCAAGGGCAGCAGGCACAAUGUCCAAAACAGAUAAAUCAGGGUGACUGCAUAGUUGCAUUCUUGUUUUUCCACUGUCCUAACAGAGAGGGCAAAAUAAGCCUGUACAGCAAAUACAUGAAAAAACACAUACUGGAAGAAAUAUUUAUGCUGUAUUAGCAUAUUCUCUGCUCUAAAUGAGUUUGGGCUAAUUACUUAUCAGACCAAAAUGGGAUAAGCAGGGGAGAUAAGCUCUUAAUAUCACAUUAGGAGAAAUUAUUAAGCAGAAUAAACAUAAUUUAUUUGAUUCUUCUCUUUCUUAUUUCAAUUGCUUUACUUAGCAAUUUCAGUAAUGUUCUUUAACAAAUUAUUUAUUUUCUUAAGCAGAAAAAAAAAUAAAAAUGAAAACAAGCUGGAAAGAGAUUAAUUUUAUUCUGGCUCGUCGUUCUCCUCAGCAGAUGAACAACUGCAGCAUCAGCACAGAUUUUUUGGAUUAAUAGAGUGCCACUGCCAGUCACAGGCUGUCAUCCUCUGAGUAAAGCCCUCCUAGAAGGGGAUUGCUGAUGGGCACUGGUGAGAAACAUGAACUGAGGAUUUUCUUCUUGGCUGGGAUGGCAAUUGGAUGGAUGUACAUUCCAGACAUAAGGUAACCUAGAGUGUCUCCUCCAGCCUCUUGCCAUCCUUGUCCUUUUUCUUUCCCCAUUUCAUCCCAGACCUCAUCUUCUCCUACAGGAAGCCACAGUGGAUCCCAGCUCCUGAUCUCCCAAUCUGAGUAGCUCUUUGCUCAUUCCCCAGUAUGACACUCUUUGCUUCCAAUCUAUUUGGCUGGACUGCCCUAACUCCCCAAUUCCUUCUUAUGAUCCCAUUUCUCAUCUAGAAUAGGUUUGGUAUCCAGUAUCUCUGUCUGAGAAACUCUUCACAGUGCAUUUGACUAACUCUGUUCUCUUGAUUUGAACAUCUGUGUUGCUGGGACCCAAGGAAGGCAGACCCCUGGUUUUGUUUUGUUGACUAAACUCUUACAGCUCAUGUCCAUCCAUAGCAAAUGGGACCUCUUAGGAAAGUGUUCUGUUGAAAUCAAAGUCAUCUUUAUUAAACAUGCACCAAUACUUUUCAUAUACCUGUCACUGACACAAAAGCUGUCUUCUAUCAGCUUUCAAGUCCUUACAGCAAACUUGCAAGAUGUAGGUUUCAUCACAGAAGACACCCGAAUUUUUAACCACAGCACAUUUUCCCCUACAGCCUGUCAGACACAUCAGAGCUGUCGGAGUUGCUCUACACUAGCUCCCCUUGAGAAUGUGUGUCAAGUAAAAAGUCCUGAGUGAUACCAUUUCAUAUUGCUUAGACAGGACAACAGUAUAAAUGCAUUUAAUCUUAUAAAAAGCAUUCUAAUAUCUUUAGUGACCACUAUGCAGACUUUUAUUCCUUAGAGAAGCUAAGGAAUGUCCUUGCAAACAAGAAAAAUUAAAUCAUGUUGUGCCAAGGCCUAUGCUCUAAGUAGUUCAAGGUGACCAGUGUGCAGCUCUGACUGUUACAUAAAACAAUUUGCAAAGAUCUGUGAAAUUAAACACAAAAUGACAGCUUCUUCAAGAAAACAAGACCCCAGUGAAAAGCUCCAAGGACUAUGCUGAAGUCAUGUCCAGUAAGGAUAAAAAAAGUGGGACCAGACUCAGUAGUAGUCUAGCAGAGUAGCUGAGAGAAGACUCUCAGUUAGGUGCAAGAAGUAUGACACUGAUUAUGUGGGUGAUUGUGAUGAGAUUUAUUGCUAACACGGUAUCUAAAUGUUGCCACUGCAGUGUGUAAUAUAAGGAGGUCUGAAGGGCUGUAACAGACAGGGUCAGCUGGGAACAUGCAGGUUUGCAGAAAGCACAAUUGCAAAGCAGCAAUGCACCCAUGGAGCUACAUAAGGAUUUUAUCUCCACCUGUUACUCACCUGUCCAAACCUGAGUGUUCCCAUCCUCAGCAGGAUGUAGCCUGCAGGUGUCCCUGCAGGGGUGGGAUCCACCUGGAAGCUGCCCUGCAGCCUAGGGAGGUCACUUUGCCAUUUGGCCCAGGCUCCAGGAGCAUUUUGUACCCUUUGCAGGGCCAUGUGUACCAAGAUCAAUCACAGCCAUCACCAGUGCCCCACCCAUGGAAUGCAUUAAUUAUGCAAGCAUCCAGACAGUUCCUCCUGCAAUUCCCACCUGAUGUUCUUAUCUUAGGACAGAUCAUAUUCCAAGACUGCAUGGGAGAGGGGGUUGGUGUAUGUGGAGGACACACUCCAAGACCCGACUAUUUUUUUGUCACCAUCACAGGGGCAAAUUGAUACAGUAAACUUUGCUAAUGAGCAAAAUCAUGAGUGGUGGGCUAUUCUGGCUUCCUGGUGACCCAAAUCUUGAGCUGCAAGGAUGCUUCCUUUGACUCAAACUACAGAAAGAUAGGUAGGCAGCAGAUGCACAACAGCCUGGUUUGUACUUUUCCUUCCCUCCCCUGUUCUUUCCUUUUUCACAUGUGUUUCCCUUUGAUUUCUGUUUGAGAAAAAUCUGUGUGAGAUACUAAAGCUGUCUUUUGGAGAGCUGCUGUGAUGCUGUUAACAAACUUCCAAAAAGCUCUGUUAGAAACAGCAGAGCAUUGCUGCAAUUCCAUGUUUCCAUGCGACCAACAGACAAUAUGCUGUCCUGAAAUUCUCUAGCUAUUCAGUGCCAAAAACCAGAGAGAGCCUGGGUUCCCUUCCCCUGCAGCUCUUGGGCUGUCUUUGUCCCUCUCCCAUAUGGCCCUGCCUCUGCAGGGAAGGACUGGACUCUGUCAACAGCUCCAGUAGAAUUUCCAGCCCAUCUCUGUGAACUGAAUAACUCUCUUUUCUCAAAUGGAAGACCCAAUACUUUGUCUUUCUUCCUAUAUCUAAGCCUGUUAAACAACAAUGUUUUUCUCACACGGACUUUAAACAGUGAAUGCAAAUUGGAGUUUUAAACUUAAAGCCAGACUUUUCUGCAUUCUAAAUAUGUUUAUUCUUUUUUCCCUUACAUUUUUCUAUAUUUAACAAAGGGUUUAAAAGAUUUCCUGUGAUCCAUAUUGCCAUAGGAAUAAAUGAGCAUUUGUAACUUCCCUAUCCAAAGCUUGUUUAGCAAUAUAGUUUUGUUCCAGUGACACAGGGCCUUUAAUUCAUUUGACCCUCUGGGUCUGUUUGCUUUACUGAAAUUUGACUCAGCAAAGUUAAAUCCCCUUCUAUCAUUCUGGAAGACAACUCAUUUUAUGUUUGGACACAAACCAAUUCACUCCCAAAGCUACAUCAUCAACUCCCCCCUAACAUUCCAGUUAGUGCUCCUAGGGCUGAAUGGAAAAAGAAAUGGUGAUGGUUGUACAGAAAUGCACCUCAUUUCUAUGGCAUGCUCAGUGAAUAUCAGAACAAUAGAUGGUGUGUUAACUCCUAUGUUUACCAACACUCUUUUUCCUUGCGUAGUUUAUAUAUUUAUCUAAGGGGGUGGCAGUCUACUGUCAUUUUAUUGUGCAAAAUUCUUGAGUGGAUACCAUGAAGUAAUCUUUUUUUUUUUUUUUUUCCCAAAUUUAUUUUUACUUGAUAUUUGGGAAACUGUUCUGUAAUGACAAGCUCUGGAGCAAAAUCUAAAAGACAGGGACUCUUCUGUAUUUGAAAGAUUUCUCCAUAUGACUGCAAAUAAGAAAAUUAUGGAAAUAUCUAUUCUCUUUAUAUUCCAUAUUGUUCAAUCAACAUGAUUUUCUCUUCCCUCCUGCUAUACAAUCAUGUGCAGAUUUUAUUUUGUCUCUGGUUCAUUUUUAAUAUUUAUAUCUACUUGUUAUCAAACAAAACAGAGCAAUCAGUUGUUUAAGGAUGUGCUGGAACAAAUCAAUACAGGAAAUUUAUAUUUAUUUCCAUGUUCAGGCUAUGGAAGGCUAGCCAGGGAUAUCUCUUUCCACUUAAAACUGUCAAGUCCAUUGGAAAAGAAUUAGGAGUUGGUCAAAAAAGGAUUUUCCUCUCUUUUUUUUUUCCCUCCUCAUCCCUUUUGUGUUAAACAUUAGAGUCCGCCUAUUACUGUAAGCCACAAAGCAGUUCUUUACCUGUUUCAGAGAAAUCUGCUUGAAAUGUGUGCAGCCUUUUUCAUCUCCAGGCUCCUGGUCUGGGCAAACAGAUGGAGUGUUUCUACCUGGGCUAUUAUUUUCUUUUCCUCUUCUACCCUUUGAGCUAAGCCAUGCUCCCUGUGCAACCCAAGAGGGAAGGACUUCUAACCCAACACAGAGCACUGGCCCUCCACAGAAAGCUCUCAGUACUCUUCAGUCCCAGUGCACCAGCUCUUAUGGACCCCAAAGCAGAGGUGCACAUCUGCCUCAUUUCCCUGCACUGCCUGAUUGUAUUUACACCCUCUGCCAAGCUGGUGAUGGCCACAGAACCUGAAGAGGGAAAGAGUGAAAUACUGCUUUCACCAAGGUAUAUAUGAGAGGUAAUUGUUGGUUGCUUCGAAGUCUGAAUCACUCAAUUUUCAGUGGCUUGCAAUAUCACUAACACAGUUUCUUUUUUCCACUACCUGUUAAAUGGAAGAAACCCUUCUCUUUUAUUUGAAACAUUGGUUUUCUUCAGCUCCCUGUAUUUCCUCUGCAAGUCCUUAGGCAUUUUUCUUAAUAUAACUCUGUGCCUCAGCUACUGCACCUCACAGGUAACCAUAUAAGAAGAGUGUGGUAUAUCUGACAUGACUCCUGUGACUCUGAUCUGACACAGCCCUGUAAUGCUACUGAGAUGUGAUUGCUACAUGGCAGUCAGCACCGAGCUAGCACAACACUGGGGGGAAAUCUUAGAGGCUGCAACAAGAAUGCAACAACAUUGGGAAGAAGGCAGUGAAGUGUGGCAAAAUGUGAGUAAAGGAAUGGAAAGACUGAAAUGGAAUAUUAGUAGUAAAUGCACUCAGGAAAAAAAAAUAUCAGAGGGUGAAGGCUCCUACUCUCUGCAGACACUGGAAAUAGAUACUGACAAUGAUAAUACAAAAUUGUUUUUUCAUUUGUUAUACAAAAGAAUGUCCGUAAGAAAAAUGAGGUAGGAAAAUGAAAGGAACAGAUUAACAAAUGCACCUGAAACUGUGAAAGGUAUUGGACUGGCAUCAUUCCAAUGGCAAGAGCAGGAAUCAUUAACUUGAGCUAUUUAGCAUUCAUAUCAGGGCAAAACUGUAGAAAACUACAGAAUGGAAAAAAUUCUGCACUGGUCUAUUGGAUAACUGUAAAUAAUUUGAAUCAACUUCUAUCUUAUCUUUUACAAAUCAGUGGACAACUGAUUAUGCUGUUAUGUAGUUUUAUCACGGCUACCUCCUUUUAUCAGAAAAUGGUGGAGGGUGUUAAGCUAAUGUACAUUUCUUUUACCACUCUGAUUUUGGUUGUUCAGUUUUUUUCUAGGGAAAAAAAAAGAGUUGUCAUCUUCAUUGCUUGAUACUGCUGCUAUUCAGAUCUGGUUUUACAUUAAUUCUUCUUGGUUUGUCACUCACGUGUGAUUAAUCAAGCAGAAACUAAGAAAUAAAAUGAUGUAUUUUGUAAAGGUGAGCUAAGGUUUCAGUAACUGUGAAACUGUGGGUAGGAACACUGUGACAGACUGUCAGGAACUCCAACUUGGUCUAGUUCUAGCUACAUUGGUGGAGUUAUGCUGAACCAUAUUUUCUGAGAAUCUGAAUUUUAAGUAUCCUUUCUAUGUUCUUCAUAUGCAGUAUAAUCUCUGUAGAAAUAAUAACUUGGGAAAAUUUUGCUUUGGUCAAUAUCUGAAAUGAAAAUUAUGUCAUUAGCUGUGAGCCGUCCCCCAGGGCAAAAAUACACCCAGUUAUUACUUGAGACCAGGAAAAAAAUUGCAAUAUUCUCCUUAUUUUAAUCUUUUACUAGAUGAUGAUAAUGGCAAAUUAGAAAUUACUUCUGAGUUCCAACUUCAUUUUAACAUUUAGUAAAUCUGUCUGCUACACAUUUAAUAUUAUUUCCAGUUUCAACAAUAUGUGAGAUAUCUCAGUAUUUGAGGUCCCUCACAACAGGCCCAUGGGACAGAAAAAUGCAAUUUCUGUGCAAAUGCAAACAGAGCUAUAGACAGUUUUCCCCAGGGAAGUAAGUGAUUGAUGCGUGUGUAUAUAUAUAAAAUAUAGAUAUGUCUGUUAUAUAUAUGUGUGUAUGUGUGCAUAUCUAUAAACUCAAUCCAGUUGUGUUUAAGUCCAGAAUAUGUCCCUGAUGCAUGAACCAUAAUCCUUGAUCCUAUAUCCUGAAAUGUCAAAUGAUACCCUCAAAAAGUAUAUUAAAACUCAUUAUACUCUACACAUAUUGCUAAAAUAUUCCUGUGGGGUAUGACUUGUUUGAAGAGAAGUACAAGAAAUAAAUUAGGCAGUUAUUUACUUACAUAUUGCCCACAGUUCUAUAGAUUUAUGAGGAAAACAAAUCUGGAGUGCUGCAUUGCACAACUUCGUAACACUGCAGUUAGAUUUUCUCUUGUAUUUACAGACUGGCUGAUUUUAAAAUCUAUUCAAGCACUGGAAAAUCAUAAAUAUGCAGCUCCACAGAUCUGGAGGUCAGGUUCCUGUGACUGUAAUACAUAUUUUCUCUUGGCAAAGCUCUCCAAUUUAGGGUCAAACUCUGCUUGCUUUUCUCAUGUUUGAUUUGGGAUGGAAAUACACGAGUGAAGGAACAGGUUUUGUCAGAGUAUUGUAUGGCUACACAGUGCUGACUGCUCCAAACACGAGCAAAAAUAUGUACUAAGGUUGUAAUCUAUGAGGGGUGGAAUAUGACAGUGUUUGGUAGAAAUAUUUCUUAAGAGGUCUAUCAGCACCUUCGUGAUUUCAUAGGAAAUCUAACUAAAAUAUGCCUGAUAUAUGACUAUUUAUCCCUCCUAACCAAAACUUCUGAAGGCUCAUAGUUGAAGCCUCAUUUUGACUCCUCUAUUAAUAUGAGAAAUUUUAAAUAAAAUGAGUUAACAGAUGUAAAAGCUGGUAUCAGUGUUAACACCUUCAAUUUCUGAUCAUAAAUGCAAUUAGGAAUUGCCCCUUUAUUUUAAAUCCAGAAGAGAGCAUGACUGAGAACCUGGAAAGUGAGCAUCAUGGUACCAUCAAUGCUCUAUAACUCUCCUGUGAUGGGGCACGGUAGAGCUGCCACUGGCGUAGUCAUUGAUUUUUGAAGAUUCUCUUUCCUGCAGCCAACCAAAGCGUGAUAACCCCCUCCCCCACCAAAAAACUGGAACACACAGCAGUGCUGUGUUCAGGGCAUGACUGAACAUUUGAGCAGCUGAUGUGGCACCACUUCAUCCCUGGCACUGCUGCCAAAAGGGUUGUGUAUCACGUCAUAACCCCAGAAGGAAUUUCUGUACAGCUGGAAAUUGCAUUUGGAAAAGCAAAGGCAAAAUGAACCUUACCUAUCUCCCCCAGAUAUUACCCAAACAAAAA
This is a long non-coding RNA of Haemorhous mexicanus (house finch), 11276 nucleotides long. RefSeq lists it as uncharacterized. The transcript is spliced from 4 exons. NCBI's taxonomy places the organism in Eukaryota, Metazoa, Chordata, Aves, Passeriformes, Fringillidae. The record is from RefSeq and is a predicted model, not a curated record.